GGCUAGGUCACUUACUCUGGGUGCAGUCACAUGCCCCCAGCAAGGCUUUCUCAUCUUGACUGUAAUCUGCAAAGGAGGAGAAGGGCAAUGAGAACUUCCAGUCUUGUUCCUGGGAGAGCCUACAACAUGGAGGUCCCUUGACUCUGGUUCAGAUCACCAGAGGGGAGACUGUGAUGUAGCCUGGGGCCCUUGACCACUCCGUGGGAGGUCUCUUGGAGCCCAGGAGACUGUAGCCUCCUUCCCUGCUGUGUCCCAGACCCCUGCUCUCUAGCCCUUCAGUGGGCACUCCAGCAAUACCUGGCUGGGAGACUGAGUCUGCUUUUGUCUCUGCUAAUAAUUUGCUGUGUCACUUAGAUUGUCUUAGUGCUUGACAGCACAGACUUGGUAUCAGCAGGCCUGUGUUUGAAUUCCAGCUCCACCCCCUAGGUCCUUGGCCAAGUUACUUAACCUUUCUGUGUCUCAGUUUCCCUGUCUGUAAAAUGGCAAUGGUAAUAUCCAUGCCAUAAGGUCUUUGGUUGAAAGAGAAUGUCGCCUGCUUCAAAAGCAACACUCAAUAAAUGGUAGCGAUCACCUUCCUUUAGGUGUACCAAACAACAGCAUACCUCCUUAUGGGGUCAGGAUGAGAUUAUCGCUAUAGGAUCUCUUCCAGAGGGAAAAAGAUCAAUGCAUAUGUUCCUCUUCUCUCAGGUGUCCAUGUCAAGCCUCUAAUGUUCCACUCUGGAGCCUAGCCUGGGAUGCUUUACCCAGACUCUCUGGGAGAAAGUCAGUCCCCCCUUGCUUGAUCCCAUGAACCUUACCAGCACUGAUGGUGGGAAAGUGCCUCAUGUCUUGCAGAAGUUUGCUGACAACAGGGCUGGACCGGGAGUAGAGCCCAUGGCGGUUAAUACCCAGGUGGAACUGGACCCAGCUGGCCUCGAGUCGGAGCUGCAGUGGGGGGUCCAGGGAGGUUAUAGCAAGAAGACAGCAUCUGUGAACCGGGAAAAGAGGCCUCACCAGAAAUGGAAUCUGCCAGCGCCCUGGUAUUGGACUUCUUAGCCUCCAGAACUGUGAGAAAUACAUUUCUGUUGUUUACAAGUCACCCAGUUUAUAGUAUCGGUUACGGCACCCCAAACAGACUAAGGCAGUUUUGCUUCACCAUUUCUCUCCUAUUUCUGACACCCAGAAUUAAGUGUAAUAUCCCCAGACGUGAUUGCCCAGUGCAGAGGAGAAUACGGUAAUCACCACCCCCAUUCAUGGCGUUUUCCUUGUAUGAACGUAACCCAAGACUGAAAAUCUUUGGGAAAUCAUGUCACGUAUCUCUAAGAAAACAUGAUUUUAUGGUAAGCAGGAUUCUAAAACUGGCCUCUAAGAUUCCAUGCCCUCAUUUCCAGAACCUGUGACUAUGAAGCACUCUCACUCCAUGAUUAUGCUGCGUUGAUGGCAUUGUUGAAUUUAGGGAGGUUGUCAAGGUGGGCCUGAUUGAAUCGCAUGAGCCCUUGAAAGUAAAGUUUUUUUUCUGGCUGUUUUCAGAAGUCCAAAAGAUCCAGGGCAUCAGAAGCAUUUGACACACUAUUGUUGGCUUUGAAGACCCACUAUUGUUGGGUCAAGUGGAAGGACCAGAAAGCCACCAUGAGGAGCUGAGAAUGCUUCCCGGCUGAAGCCAGCAAGGAAAUGGGGGCAAGGAACUGAAUUCUACCAACAACGAGAAUGAGCUUGAAGGAGGACCCCUGAGCUGCUGACGAAAAUGCAGCCAACCAACACCUUGAUUUUAAUCUUGUGAGAUCCUAGCAGAAAAUGAGUCAUACCAUCAGAUAUGGUUUGGAUGUUUGUCCCCUCCAAAUCUCAUGUUGAAAUGUAGUCCCCAGUGUUGAAGGUGGGGCCUGGUGGGAGGUAAUUGUAACAUAGGGGUGGGUCCCUCAUGAAUGGCUUAGCACCGUCUCCUUGGUGAUGAAUGAGGUCUUGCUCAGAGUUCAUGUGAGAUCUGGAUGUUUAAAGGCAUAUGGCACCUCCCCGCUCACUCUCUUGUGCUCCUGCUCUUGCCAAUGUGAUGUGCCUGUUCUCUACCACCUUCUGCCAUGAGUAAGUUUUCUGAGGCCCUCACCAGAAGCAGCAUGCUUCCUGUACAGCCUGCAGAACCAUGAGCCAAUUACAUCUUUUUUUAAAAAAUAAAUUACCCAGCUUCAGGUAUUUCUUUUUUCCUUCCCUUCCUUCCUCCCUCCCUCCUUUCUCUUUCCUUCCUUCCUUCCUUCUUUCGACGAAGUUUUGCUCUUGUUGCCUAGGCUAGAGUGCAAUGGCACAAUCUUGGCUCACUGCAACCUCUACCUCCCAGGUUCAAGCGAUUCUCCUGCCUCAGCCUUCUGAGUAGCUGGGAUUACAGGUGCAUGCCACCAUGCCUGGCUAAUUUUGUAUUUUUAGUAGAGAUGGGGUUUUACCAUCUUGGCCAGGGUGGUCUUGAACUCCUGACCUCAGGUGAUCCGCCCGCCUUGACCACCCAAAGAGCUGGAAUUACAGGCGUGAGCCACCACACCUCGCCAGAUAUUUCUUUAUAGCAACGCAAAACGGCCUGAAACAUUAUCCCAGACUUCUGACCUAUAGGACAAAUGGGGUGUUGUUCUAAGUGUCUAAGUUUGUGGCAAUUUGUACUCAAAAAUAAAAAACGAAUACGUACUUUGUUCACAGAAAGGCUCAAAAGCUAAAUGCUCUUAUUUUAAGCAUAUGCUUUCAUUUCUUUUAAAAAUAACCCUAAGUAAUAUUUUUUAUUAGAUCUAGAAAACUAUUCAUACUCUGCAAUAAAACUUUUAUUUUCCCUCAAAAGCCAUGCCAUAGUAUUGCCUUCUAUUUGUGUUGGACAGUGAGGCCAUUGCCUGGUAACACUGGCCUUCCUUUUAAGGAAAGAGAAAAAGUAUAUAUCACAAAAAUAAAGCACAAAGUCUUCAUGGCUGUUGCUUUCAUCAACAAAAAUAAAACCUUAGUUACAAAUCACAUGAUCUUCAGGGGAGAAGUAGAAAUCACUUUGCUCCUGACUCUGCAAUACUGGAAUUUUCCUUGGAAAUAGUUUCCUAAAAAGAAGAGUAUUUCUUUCAGAAAAAAAGAGCAUUUUAAAACGUUUGAUUUUACUUAUUUUUUAAGUAGCAAAUGCAUUUACAUGGCUCAAAAUGUUAAAUGUCAAGACUCUUCCAUCCUGUCCCUGAGUUAACCCGCUUCCCAUCUCCAGAGGCAACUAAUGUUGCUGGUGUUUUUCCCCAUUGUUUUUUUCCACUUUUAUUUUUAUAGGUAUGAUAAUAUAAAAUCCGCACUGUUCUGAAACUUGCUUUAUUUUCCUGUCAAUAGGUUCUGGUGAUUUUUCCAAUUCAGUACACAGAAAGCUCCUCAUUCUUUGUUAAGUUCAUCACAUCAUAUUCCAGUGUAUGAAAAUCACAUCAUUAACCUGCUAUGGUCUGAAUGUUUGUGUUACCCCUAAAUUCAUAUGUUGAAACCUAAUCCCCAGUAUGAUAGUAUUAGGAAGUGGGGCCUUUGGGAGGUGAUUGGGCCAUGAGGGCAGAGCCCUCAUGGGUGGGAUUAGUGCCCUUCUAAAAAAUAUCCUGUAUUUUUAGUAGAGAUGGGUUUCACCAUGUUGGCCAGAUGGUCUCAAUCUCUUGACCUCAUGAUCCACCCGCCUCGGCCUGCCAAAGUGCUGGGGUUAUGGUGACAUGCACCUGCAGUCCCAGCUACUUGGAAGGCUGAGGCAGGAGAAUCGCUUGAACCUGGGAGGUGGAGGUUGCAGUGAGCUGAGAUCACGCCACUGCACUCUGGCCUGGCGACAGAGCGAAACUCCAUCUCAAAAAAAAAAAAAAAAAGAGAUUUCGGAAUGCUAUCUCAUCUCUCCCACUAUGUGAAGAGAGAAGGCUUCAUCUAUGAACCGGAAAGCAGGUCCUCACACUAGACACUGAAUCUGCUGGUGGCUUAAUCUUGGACUUCCCAGCCUCUAGUACUGCAAGAAAUAAAUUUCUUUUGUUUAUAAGCCAAUCAGUUUAUGUUACUUUGUUAUAGCAGUCUGAAUAGAUGAAGACAUCAUCUACUUGCAAACUUCUAGGUUGUUUGUAAUGUUUUGUUAUGCCGAGCGAUGCUGGGACAUUCUACCUAUAAAUAUGACGUUCUGCAUGUGUGAGAGUGUAUCGGUAUGAUAAAUUCUUAUAAGUGUUGUUGAUGGGUCAGAGGGUAGGUGCAUUUAUAAUUGUUACUGAUAUUGCCAAAGUACCCUCUGCCAAGGCAAGAUACUGCUAAUCCCUCUCCCUCAGCAUUGUAUGAGACUAUAUUCAAGAAGCUUUGCCAACAGUGUAGUGACACUUCUUGAUCCUUGUCAAUCUAAUAGGUGAAAAAUGGUAUCACAGUGCAUUUUGAGUUUGCAUCUCUAUCUUGUUAUGAGGGAAGCAGAACAUCUUUUCCUCUGUUCAAGAGUCAUUUGCAUUACAUUUGCCUAUGUUUGUAUUGAGUUGUUAGUCUUUUUCCUAUUGAGUUUAUACACUCAGAAAAUUACAUUUUUUCUCAUAUGAUUUGCAUUUUUCUCCCAGUUUGUUGUCAAUCUUUUGACUUCACUUAUGGUGAUUUUUUAAAAUGCAGAAAUGUUGAUUUUUUAUAAGGUUGAAAUGACCAACCCACUUAUUCAUGGCUCCAACUUGUGUGAAAUUCUUAGGCCAGUCUCACGUUGAAAUUACAAGAAUAAGAAACCAAACCAAAGCAUGGUUUCCUCUAGUAUUUUGUGGUUUCAUUUUUUUCCAUUUAAAUAUCUGAGAGGUCUAGAAUUUAUUUAGAUAAAAUGUGUUAGGUAUGGGUUCACCUUUCUUCCGCCCUCCAGGAUGACUAGCUAGUUCUUUAACAAUCAUUUAUUAAACAAAUUCAUUUUUUAGUUCACUGAUUUGAAAUGUCAUCUUUGUCAGACAAAACAUUUCCAUUUGUAUUUGGGUCUAUUUCUGGAAGCUCCAUUCUGUUUCAUGCUCUGUCUGGCCAUAUUCCAAGGCAAUGCUGUUGAACUUUUUUAACUUGAUAAAACACUUUAACAGCUGGUGGGGCUAGUCUUUUUGAUUGCUCUUUUUUUUUUUUUUUUUUUAAAGAGUUUUCCUAUAUAGUCCAACUUGUAUACUUAUCCACAUGAAUUUUACAAUUAUAUAAACGCUUUCAAAAUGGAAACCUUAAAAAGUUUUAAACAGGCUUAUCAAGUAACCUUAUUAUAAUGUCUUCUUGAAUUAUUGAUGAGCGUGUAGUUGGCACAUCGUUCUAGAGGGUAACUUCCCAGUACAUUUCUUUCUUUCUUUUUUCUUUCUUUCUGUUUUAUUUUUUGAGACAGAGUCUCCCUCUGUCACCCAGGCUGGAGUGCAGUGGUAUGAUCUUGGCUCACUGCAACCCCUGCCUCCCAGAUUCAAGCAAUUCUCCUGCCUCAGCCUCCCGAGUAGCUGGGAUUUACAGGCGCAUGCCACCACACCUGGCUAAGUUUUGUUUUUUCAGUAGAGACGGGGUUUCGCCAUGUUGGCCAGGAUGGUCUUGAACUCCUCAUCUCAGGUGAUCCACCCGCCUUGGCCUCUCAAAAUGCUGGGAUUACAGGCAUAAGCCACCACGCCCGGCCCCCAGUACCUUUCAAAACGUGUAAUGAGUGUACCCUUUGACUUAGCAAUUUCACUUCUGCAACUUAUCCUGUAGAAUGAUUUGCACAACUGUGCAAGAAAAUAUGUUCAAAGAUGUUCAUUAUUGUUUGUAACUGUAAAAACUGGAGAAAAGAGAAAUAUCUAGGACAGGGGUAUUUAAGAGAUAUCUCUAUAUGUAGUGACGUAGAAGGAUGUCUAAUUUCAGAACAGUGUAGAGUGGGUCUUUUUCUUUUUGCUAAAAAUAUCAUAUACAGGUGCUUAUAUAGACAUAGACACUUUCAUUUAGUGUGCAUGAAAAGAGCACAUACCAAACUCAAUGAUGGUGCUCCUUGGGGGUAUGCAUGAGUAGCUUCAUUUUUACUUUAUAUAUUUCUGUAAUUGUACAAUUAAACAAAUUACACUGCAAGUUGUUUUUGCAUACCUCUUUCUCAUUCCUCCAUGUGUCUCCCCAUCUAGCAUCCUUUUCCAUCCCCCCCCCUUUUUAUUUUAAGCAUUGCAUCUUCUCAUUUGAAUUGCAUUUCCCAGACCUGGCAAAAAAAAUAUUUCCUCUUGUACUUGCAUGAUCUGUGACCCACAAUUUCAGAUCACAAUGCCCCAUCUCCUUGAGUCCCUGUGGUUAAUUCAGGCAUGUGCAAAUGACCCAAGCUGUGUCAAUCUGAGGAUUCUUAAAGAUUUUUCAAAGGCUAGCAGAGAAGAGCUGUUUUCAUUUUCUGGGAUUCUCAGCUAUGAGAAGACUGUACAUGAAGAGCUGCCAAUGA
Molecule: long non-coding RNA, 6355 nt
Filed under: Homo sapiens (human)
Lineage: Eukaryota; Metazoa; Chordata; Mammalia; Primates; Hominidae
Description: HSALNT0244318
Source: RNAcentral